GACGAACGCUGGCGGCGUGCUUAACACAUGCAAGUCGAACGGAAAGGCCCUGCGUUUGUGGGGUGCUCGAGUGGCGAACGGGGGAGUAACACGUGAGUAACCUGCCCUUGACUUUGGGAUAACUUCAGGAAACUGGGGCUAAUACCGGAUAGGAGCUCCUGCUGCAUGUUGGGGGAUGGAAAGUGUCGGCGGUUGAGGAUGUACUCGCGGCUUAUCAGCUUGUUGGUGGGGUAGGGGCUUACCAAGGAUUUGACGGGUAGCCGGCCUGAGAGGGUGACCGGCCACAUUGGGACUGGGGUGCGGCCCAGACUGCUACGGGCGGCAGGAGUGGGGACUAUAGCACGCUGGGCGGAAGGAUGAUGGAGCAACGCCGCGUGCGAGAUGACGGUCUUCGGGUUGUAAACAGCUUUCGAGUGUGACGAAGCGUGAGUGACGGAAAUAGGCAAAGAAGCACCGGCUAACUACGU
RNAcentral lists this ribosomal RNA (467 nucleotides) under uncultured bacterium. RNAcentral describes it as "partial 16S ribosomal RNA". It matches the Rfam family "Bacterial small subunit ribosomal RNA", at positions 28 to 506 of the family's 1533-position model. The record is from RNAcentral.